RNAcentral lists this ribosomal RNA (493 nucleotides) under uncultured bacterium. RNAcentral's name for it is "partial 16S ribosomal RNA". It matches the Rfam family "Bacterial small subunit ribosomal RNA", at positions 30 to 507 of the family's 1533-position model. The record is from RNAcentral.
AGUGAACGCUGGCGGCAGGCCUAACACAUGCAAGUCGAACGGCAGCACAGUAAGAUCUUGCUCUUACGGGUGGCGAGGGGCGGACGGGUGAGGAAUAGAUCGGAAGCUACUGUUUCGUGGGGGACAACUGAGGGAAACUUACGCUAAUACCUCAUACGACCUACGGGUGAAAGCAAGGGAGCUUCGGACCUUGCGCUAAUGCAUAAGUCGAUGUCGGAUUAGGUAGGUGGCGGGGUAAAGGCACACCAAGGCGAAGAUACAUAGCCGACCUGAGAGGGUGGUGGGCCAAAAGGGGACUGGGACACGGCCCAAACUCCUACGGGAGGCAGCAGUAGGGAAUCUUCGGCAAGGGACGAAAGUCUGACCGAGCAACGCCGGGGGAGUGAAGAAGGGUUUCGGAUCGUAAAACUCUGUUGGUAGAGAAGAACGGUGGGGAGAGGGAAAAGCUCAUCAAGAGACGGUAACUACCCAGAAAGGGACGGCGAACUACGUG